GUUGCCAACCAUAAUUUACUUAGUUCAUCAAUACUUUUACAACUUAAAUGACUCUCAUUAAACAUCCUAGGUACAUGCCAUUAUCAAUACUAAACAUACUUUACCUCAUUGAAUUCGGGAUCGGCCUAGAAUGCUGAUUCGACAGUCUAGCCUUAACUUAACCUGCGCACGGAAACAAACCGUACGUUGAGUAUACACUCAGUGGUAUUUCUAUAAUCCGAACACUUGAUAAUAUAACAAUUAAACUUAAAAUCACAAUAACAAAUAUAACUAUUCAUUUAUUUAUUUUAUAGAUAAGUUUCAUUUACUUACCAUAAAAAUUCUAUACAAGCCAUAUAACAAACACAACAACAUAUUUGCUCAAUUCUUUUCAUUUGCUUACCGUAUAAAUUCUUUACAAUAUAUUCACAAUUCAUUUGUAUUUCCACUUUACUUCUUAACAAUAUACCAUUUUAAUUCAUUCUAACAUCAAUCAUCAUCCAUUUGAACUUCACUCAUUUCAUGAACCUUUUGGUUCAGGUUUUCAAUCUCAUAUCUCAAUUUCAAUUCUCAAUUCAAUUUUUCAUUUCAUUUCAAUAGCUCAAUCAAUCAAAUUCACUCGAUUUAUCUUUUCACUUAUUUACCCCUAUUAAUAAGACUCGGACUCUGAUAGAUACGUGGAUUCCUCCCAAACACACCAAAAUAUCCAACCCAAACACACCCGGAAUAUUAUAAAUCCUCCAUAACACACCAGUAUAUCAUAUCCUCCCAAACACACCAAUAAGGCAUUAAAUGCCUCUUCAGAUAAACCGAAGUAUAUAAUAACAGAAACAUCUUCUCGGCCGAACUAUAAAUCUCCUCAUCACAUCAUAAAUCCAAUGGCAUGCCAUUUGUAUCCAAUCUGGUCCGAUACUGUUAAUAGGGUAUUCGAUUCACUUUCUCAAUUUAAUAAAUCUUUCAUCAAUAUACCAUUCUAAUAAUCACAUAUAUUCACACAUUUUCAUAAUUUCAUAUAUUUUCAUUCAAUUCAACAAAUAUAUUUCAAUUAUUCACAUUAAUUCAUAAUUUAAUACAACUCAAUUCACUUUUAAAUAUCAAAUAUUCAAUUAUCACAAAUCUCAUAUAUUCAUAUCAAUUCCCUCAUAUUCCAAUCAAUAUAAUUUUUCAAUAUAACAUUCAUUCAAUAUUCAAAUUUUUACAUAAAUCAUAUAUAUAAUAUAUAUUUCAAUCAAUAUAAAUUUGAUAAAUUCAUCACAUACCAAAAUCAAUUCAUUUCAAUUGUAAAACAUCAUAAUUCUAACAUUAACAAUUGUCAUAUGUAUAUAAAUAUAACAAAUAAUGACUGAGUUCGGAUUAUAGAAAUAUAAACCGAAAUUUUCAAGCUAACUCCCGUUGACUUUGUCUUGUCCUUCCUUAGCCGAGAUUUUCGAUACCACAUUGACUAUUAAAGUUUAAAGCUUCAAAACCUUGAUUUUCCCUUUUCUCCUUUUCUUUCUUUCUUUCCUUUCUUUCUCCCCUGUUCUUCUCUGUUUCGUUUGCUUUGUUUUUCUUUUUCAUUUCAUUUAUUU
RNAcentral lists this long non-coding RNA (1547 nucleotides) under Gossypium barbadense (sea-island cotton). RNAcentral's name for it is "long non-coding RNA (GBAR_LNC008613)". The record is from RNAcentral. Lineage: Eukaryota; Viridiplantae; Streptophyta; Magnoliopsida; Malvales; Malvaceae.